GACGAACGCUGGCGGCGUGCCUAAUACAUGCAAGUAGAACGCUGAAGGAGGAGCUUGCUUCUCCGGAUGAGUUGCGAACGGGUGAGUAACGCGUAGGUAACCUGCCUGGUAGCGGGGGAUAACUAUUGGAAACGAUAGCUAAUACCGCAUAACAGUAGAUAUUGCAUGAUAUCUGCUUGAAAGGUGCAAUUGCAUCACUACCAGAUGGACCUGCGUUGUAUUAGCUAGUUGGUGAGGUAACGGCUCACCAAGGCGACGAUACAUAGCCGACCUGAGAGGGUGAUCGGCCACACUGGGACUGAGACACGGCCCAGACUCCUACGGGAGGCAGCAGUAGGGAAUCUUCGGCAAUGGACGGAAGUCUGACCGAGCAACGCCGCGUGAGUGAAGAAGGGUUUCGGAUCGUAAAGCUCUGUUGUAAGAGAAGAACGAGUGUGAGAGUGGAAAGUUCACACUGUGACGGUAUCUUACCAGAAAGGGACGGCUAACUACGUG
RNAcentral lists this ribosomal RNA (495 nucleotides) under uncultured bacterium. Its description in RNAcentral is "partial 16S ribosomal RNA". It matches the Rfam family "Bacterial small subunit ribosomal RNA", at positions 28 to 507 of the family's 1533-position model. The record is from RNAcentral.